RNAcentral lists this ribosomal RNA (496 nucleotides) under uncultured bacterium. Its description in RNAcentral is "partial 16S ribosomal RNA". It matches the Rfam family "Bacterial small subunit ribosomal RNA", at positions 29 to 507 of the family's 1533-position model. The record is from RNAcentral.
AUGAACGCUGGCGGCGUGCCUCAUCCAUGCAAGUCGAGCGAACGGACGAGAAGCUUGCUUCUCUGAUGUUAGCGGCGGACGGGUGAGUAACACGUGGAUAACCUACCUAUAAGACUGGGAUAACUUCGGGAAACCGUAGCUAAUACCGGAUAAUAUUUUGAACCGCAUGGUUCAAAAGUGAAAGACGGUCUUGCUGUCACUUAUAGAUGGAUCCGCGCUGCAUUAGCUAGUUGGUAAGGUAACGGCUUACCAAGGCAACGAUGCAUAGCCGACCUGAGAGGGUGAUCGGCCACACUGGAACUGAGACACGGUCCAGACUCCUACGGGAGGCAGCAGUAGGGAAUCUUCCGCAAUGGGCGAAAGCCUGACGGAGCAACGCCGCGUGAGUGAUGAAGGUCUUCGGAUCGUAAAACUCUGUUAUUAGGGAAGAACAUAUGUGUAAGUAACUAUGCACAUCUUGACGGUACCUAAUCAGAAAGCCACGGCUAACUACGUG